GGGGAUGUGGCUCAGUGGCAGAGCUUGUGCCUUGCAUGCAUAAGGCCCUAGGUUAAAUCCCCAACACUACCA
This 72-nucleotide transfer RNA is filed under the name Cavia porcellus (domestic guinea pig). It matches the Rfam family "tRNA". Rfam says of the family: Transfer RNA (tRNA) molecules are approximately 80 nucleotides in length. Their secondary structure includes four short double-helical elements and three loops (D, anti-codon, and T loops). Further hydrogen bonds mediate the characteristic L-shaped molecular structure. tRNAs have two regions of fundamental functional importance: the anti-codon, which is responsible for specific mRNA codon recognition, and the 3' end, to which the tRNAs corresponding amino acid is attached (by aminoacyl-tRNA synthetases). tRNAs cope with the degeneracy of the genetic code in two manners: having more than one tRNA (with a specific anti-codon) for a particular amino acid; and 'wobble' base-pairing, i.e. permitting non-standard base-pairing at the 3rd anti-codon position. Lineage: Eukaryota; Metazoa; Chordata; Mammalia; Rodentia; Caviidae. The record is from Rfam by way of RNAcentral.